RNAcentral lists this ribosomal RNA (169 nucleotides) under uncultured bacterium. RNAcentral's name for it is "partial 16S ribosomal RNA". It matches the Rfam family "Bacterial small subunit ribosomal RNA", at positions 338 to 524 of the family's 1533-position model. The record is from RNAcentral.
CCUACGGGAGGCAGCAGUAGGGAAUAUUGCGCAAUGGAGGAAACUCUGACGCAGCGACGCCGCGUGAGCGAUGAAGGUCUUCGGAUCGUAAAGCUCUGUCCUAUGGGAAGAUAAUGACGGUACCAUAGGAGGAAGCCCCGGCUAACUACGUGCCAGCAGCCGCGGUAAU